RNAcentral lists this ribosomal RNA (253 nucleotides) under uncultured bacterium. Its description in RNAcentral is "partial 16S ribosomal RNA". It matches the Rfam family "Bacterial small subunit ribosomal RNA", at positions 524 to 776 of the family's 1533-position model. The record is from RNAcentral.
UACGAAGGGGGCUAGCGUUGUUCGGAAUCACUGGGCGUAAAGCGCACGCAGGCGGAUCGAUAAGUCGGGGGUGAAAGCCCGGGGCUCAACCUCGGAACUGCAUUCGAUACUGUCGGUCUCGAGUCCGGGAGAGGUGAGUGGAAUUCCUAGUGUAGAGGUGAAAUUCGUAGAUAUUAGGAGGAACACCAGUGGCGAAGGCGGCUCACUGGCCCGGUACUGACGCUCAGGUGCGAAAGCGUGGGGAGCAAACAGG